UACGUAGGGUGCAAGCGUUGUCCGGAAUUAUUGGGCGUAAAGAGCGUGUAGGCGGCCCGAUUAGUCCGCUGUGAAAGUCCAGGGCUCAACCCUGGAAUGCCGGUGGAUACUGUCGGGCUAGAGUCCGGAAGGGGCGAGUGGAAUUCCUGGUGUAGCGGUGAAAUGCGCAGAUAUCAGGAGGAACACCAAUGGCGAAGGCAGCUCGCUGGGACGUGACUGACGCUGAGGAGCGAAAGCGUGGGGAGCGAACAGG
This 253-nucleotide ribosomal RNA is filed under the name uncultured bacterium. RNAcentral describes it as "partial 16S ribosomal RNA". It matches the Rfam family "Bacterial small subunit ribosomal RNA", at positions 524 to 776 of the family's 1533-position model. The record is from RNAcentral.